This is a non-coding RNA of Pelobates cultripes (western spadefoot toad), 206 nucleotides long. The record is from the annotation of a GenBank genome assembly. Lineage: Eukaryota; Metazoa; Chordata; Amphibia; Anura; Pelobatidae.
CUUACACUCCAAAACUGUGUGUCGUCUUGUUAUUGGAGGGAAAGAAGAUUUGUUCCUGUGUCUGCUGUUCCAGCUUGCAGGAAAUUCAACGGGGAAAGUCCUUGUAAGGACUAGAGCUAAUUCCCCAUUUGGCUCCAGGGAAGGAGCGGUUCCAGGGACCCAGUCCAGCCACAGUGACUGUGGGCAGAAGUGCUGCGGUUUGUCCC